GCCUUGUGACAGAAAUGUUUAACGGCCGCGGUAUUUUAACCGCGCGAAGGUAGCGUAAUCACUUGUCUUUUAAAUGGAGACCUGUAUGAAUGGCAUAACGAGGGUUUAACUGUCUCCUUCCCNUAGUCAAUGAAAUUGACCUACCCGUGCAGAGGCGGGUAUGACAACAUAAGACGAGAAGACCCUAUGGAGCUUUAGGCAAAUGAUCAAGAACACCAAGCCACGGUUUCAGCUGACACCUAAGAAAAAUAACCCCUAUGAUCACUAUGCCUUCGGUUGGGGCGACCAUGGAGGAGAGAAAAGCCUCCAAGUGGAACGGGAACACCCUUCAACUAAGAAAAACAACUCUAAGUAACAGAAAUUCUGACCAAAUGUGACCCAGGUACAAACCUGAUCAACGAACCGAGUUACCCUAGGGAUAACAGCGCAAUCCCUUCCCAGAGUCCAUAUCGACGAGGGGGUUUACGACCUCGAUGUUGGAUCAGGACAUCCUAAUGGUGCAGCCGCUAUUAAGGGUUCGUUUGUUCAACG
This 531-nucleotide ribosomal RNA is filed under the name Gymnothorax moringa (spotted moray). RNAcentral describes it as "partial 16S ribosomal RNA". It matches the Rfam family "Bacterial large subunit ribosomal RNA", at positions 1861 to 2586 of the family's 2925-position model. The record is from RNAcentral. Lineage: Eukaryota; Metazoa; Chordata; Actinopteri; Anguilliformes; Muraenidae.